CAAUUGUUCAAAGAACAAUUGAAGGUCUUUCCACAAGUAAAGAUCUAUUUUAUUAUCAAAAUAUUAAAAAUCAAUCUAAAAUGUCAGUUCCUAUGACUUUAUAAUGUAUAAAUAUGAAUUUAAAGCAAAGGUCAAAAUCUAGAACGUCCUAUUAACCUUUGACCUUGACCUCAAUUUCAAGGUGACCAACCAAGGACCUCAAA
RNAcentral lists this long non-coding RNA (203 nucleotides) under Mytilus galloprovincialis (Mediterranean mussel). Lineage: Eukaryota; Metazoa; Mollusca; Bivalvia; Mytilida; Mytilidae. The record is from RNAcentral.